AUUUCAGUAUGCAGUUAAAAGCCAACGACAUUGCAAUGACUGAAGUCACAUAUAGACCUGAAGAGCAUUCCUGAACCAGUUCGGUGUUUACAAUAAUCCAUGAACACGAUUAUUGAUGCAGUAAUUUCGUUCGCUACGGAAUAAAAAUCAAGGCGCUCUAUGUGCUGACUCCAGUCUUCCUUAGCUGCAUCGUAAGGAUCGAUUCUGCCAAAGAGUGGCAUGACUAAGGCAGUUAAAAUGAAUAGGAUUUAAUACCUUGAAAGGAGGAACCUCACACAAACUUCUUUAUUCAUCCUUGGGAUGGACCCAGGGUGCUGCACCUGUGAUGGUCAGGCAGGAAUCUGAGGGGGUGAGGAGAAAACCGAACUGUUCAAAAGUUUCCAAGCGAACCAUCGUUGGAAACCUAAAGCGCCUUUGGUGGACUGCGGUUGGUGAUGUGGACAGGAAACAGUAAUUCCCCUUCAUGGCACUAAAAACCCCUCUUUGAUCGCCUCUGCACGAAAGCUUCUGCAAAGCAAGAUGCGUUGAUUGCAAUGGCAAAAGUAGGGCAGUUAAUUUGCAAGGAUGUUUUGUAUUUCCUGUCUGUUGAUCUGACUGAUCCAGUAUUGUGUGUUCAUGCUUGUGUUUCUGUGCACGUGUUUAUGCUUUUGCGUACUUUAUGCUUGUGCAGUUGGGUGCAUGUGUUCGGCUGGGCAUAUACUUGCGUGCAUGUGUUCGUGUUUUUGGAUACAUGUGUGAGGCCUAAGUCUCUCUCAGGCUUACUUUUUCUUUUUGUGUUUGUUCCUGUAAACCCUUUCCACCGGCAGGAGGGUCAGCAACCAGUAAAAAACAGUUUUAAGAUAAGUGACAAAAGAACCAGAGAGAUAGGGUGGCCAUUGCAUUAGGCAGGAAUCUCUGGAAAUUGCGUAUUAAUAUUCCAGAUGUUCCUGCAAAAAGCCCAGGAGAAAGAUUUGCAAGCUCACCUUCUGACUCUCCAGUCCAGUUCCUGGAAUUUCUUUCCCAGUUUCUCUAUAACUUGGUGCACUGUUCCCGUAGCCAGCUCGGAGGGUAUCUGAGCAUGUGCAGCUUACACAAUAGACCGCUUUCACCAUUGCAGAGCAUUGUGGGUAUUCAGUGCCACCAUUGUGGCAUCACUGAUUUUGCUGUUAGAAAGCAUUUCAGUGAUGUGGAGGGAGUUCAGACGGAUGAGGGAAGAAACAUUACUUGCAAUUAAGACACUGUGAAAGCUUCUUUCUGAUAGAAAACUGGGGAAUAACCUUUUCUGUGAUAAAUUCAACACCCAACAAUAAACUCCAAAAUAACCCAAAACUCAUAAACCAUCACUUGGUUCACAAGUUGCUGUUGUUACUUCACAUUUUUGUUGGCACUUGGGACGCUUCCUUUUCCUGUUCACAGGAGAACUCGGCAUGAGAUAC
Molecule: long non-coding RNA, 1415 nt
Organism: Carcharodon carcharias (great white shark)
Lineage: Eukaryota; Metazoa; Chordata; Chondrichthyes; Lamniformes; Lamnidae
Exons: 4
Source: RefSeq, a predicted model, not a curated record